Molecule: non-coding RNA, 849 nt
Organism: Megalobrama amblycephala (Wuchang bream)
Lineage: Eukaryota; Metazoa; Chordata; Actinopteri; Cypriniformes; Xenocyprididae
Source: the annotation of a RefSeq genome assembly
UACUUUUGAAGCUCUUAUGAAAUUAAUGUUGUGUGAUUUAAAAAAAGAAAGAAAGAAAUAAAAAAGUGAGAUAAAACUGCAAACGUCUAUGUGAGGUUGGGGGAAGAAGUGAAUAAAAGGGCAAACAAAGCUUUUCAAAAAGGUACAAUUUUAAGAUACAGUAUGAAUGAUUGUAAUUAUAAGUGUUCUUAAAGCUGCUUUAUGGCUAACAUGUUUCACAUCAUGUGACUUUAUUUUGAUUGUGUAACACUUGUCAGAAACCAAAAGAGGGCGAUAUCUCUCAGUAUUACACUUAACAGAGAAGUUUCUUUUAGGUUUUCACAAACUCCUCCUCAGAGUCUUUAUGAUAUUUAUGAAAGCAAAACUCUCAUUGACAGAUUUAUUUUGACUUCAGUGUGAAUUUAAAACAGAUCAUGAGGUGGAUCAGGAAUAUAUUUCUAUUUGCACUCUUCAGUCUUGAGUGCAGAUCAGAAGAGAAAGUUGAUCAGCCAGACAAACAUGUGACUGAAGCUGAAGGAAGAUCAGUGACAUUAGAUUGUUCAUAUACGACAGCUUCAACAGGGCCAUACCUUUUCUGGUACAUCCAGAGAGCGAAUGACUUUCCUAAAUACAUCCUGAGAAGAGACAAGUUUGGAACUGGAGAAAAUGGCACUGAGUUCCAGGAGAGAUUUCACUCUGAACUUUCAUCAAAUUCAGUUCCUCUGAAGAUCAAGGAUCUGCGUGUGUCUGACUCUGCUGUGUAUUACUGUGCUCUGAAGCCCACUGUGACAAAACUGAAGUCAAACCACAUACAAAAACACAAGCAUAAACAUAUAAUGUGACUGUGAUGAAAGCAUUUUUGACAUUUAA